CUCGACCGGGGCGACAGCAAUAUGAAGGUCAGGCUGAAGACCUUACCCGAUUAGCUGAGAGGUGGUGCAUGGCCGUCGUCAGUUCGUACUGUGAAGCAUCCUGUUAAGUCAGGCAACGAGCGAGACCCACGUCCACAGUUGCCAGCAUACCCUCCGGGGUGAUGGGUACACUGUGGAGACCGCCGCUGCUAAAGCGGAGGAAGGAGUGGGCAACGGUAGGUCAGUAUGCCCCGAAUCUCCCGGGCUACACGCGGGCUACAAUGGUUGGUACAAUGGGCAUCUACCCCGAAAGGGGAAGGAAAUCUCUUAAAGCCAAUCGUAGUUCGGAUUGAGGGCUGCAACUCGCCCUCAUGAAGCUGGAAUCCGUAGUAAUCGCGUUUCAACAGAACGCGGUGAAUACGUCCCUGCUCCUU
Molecule: ribosomal RNA, 413 nt
Filed under: uncultured Methanosaeta sp.
Lineage: Archaea; Methanobacteriati; Methanobacteriota; Methanomicrobia; Methanotrichales; Methanotrichaceae
Description: bacterial SSU rRNA
Rfam family: Archaeal small subunit ribosomal RNA
Source: RNAcentral